AUUGAACGCUGGCGGCAUGCGUAACACAUGCAAGUCGAACGGUGUUUGGUGCUUGCACCAGACAUAGUGGCGGACGGGUGAGUAAUGCGUAGGAAUCUGUCUUAGAGAGGGGGACAACCCGAGGAAACUUGGGCUAAAACCGCAUAUUCUCGAGAGAGGAAAGCAGGGGACCGGAAACGGCCUUGUGCUCUAAGGUGAGCCUACGUCGGAUUAGCUAGUUGGUAGGGUAAAAGCCUACCAAGGCGAUGAUCUGUAGCUGGUCUGAGAGGACGGACAGCCACACUGGGACUGAGACACGGCCCAGACUCCUACGGGAGGCAGCAGUGGGGAAUAUUGGACAAAUGGGGGGAAACCCUGAUCCAGCGAUGCCGCGUGUGUGAAGAAGGCCUGCGGGUUGUAAAGCACUUUCAGUGGGAAAGAGAAGCGUCUUGUGAAUAAUGGGACGUGGAGACGUUACUCACAGAAGAAGCACCGGCUAACUCUGUGCCAGCAGCCGCGGUAAUC
RNAcentral lists this ribosomal RNA (504 nucleotides) under uncultured bacterium. RNAcentral's name for it is "bacterial SSU rRNA". It matches the Rfam family "Bacterial small subunit ribosomal RNA", at positions 29 to 525 of the family's 1533-position model. The record is from RNAcentral.